RNAcentral lists this ribosomal RNA (394 nucleotides) under uncultured bacterium. RNAcentral's name for it is "partial 16S ribosomal RNA". It matches the Rfam family "Bacterial small subunit ribosomal RNA", at positions 338 to 729 of the family's 1533-position model. The record is from RNAcentral.
CCUACGGGAGGCCGCAGUGAGGAAUAUUGGUCAAUGGACGCAAGUCUGAACCAGCCAUGCCGCGUGCAGGAAGACGGCUCUAUGAAUUGUACACUGCUUUUGUACGAGGGUAAACGCAGAUACGCGUCUCUGUCUGAAAGUAUCGUACGAAUAAGCAUCGGCUAACUCCGUGCCAGCAGCCGCGGUAAUACGGAGGAUUCAAGCGUUAUCCGGAUUUAUUGGGUUUAAAGGGUGCGUAGGCGGUAAGAUAAGUUAGAGGGGAAAUCCCAAGGCUCAACUUCGGAAUUGCCUGUGAUACUGUUCGGCUAGAGAGUAGUUGAGGUAGGCGGAAGGUAUGGUGUAGCGGUGAAAUGCUUAGAGAUCAUACAGAACACCGAUUGCGAAGGCAGCUUAC